This 492-nucleotide ribosomal RNA is filed under the name uncultured bacterium. RNAcentral's name for it is "partial 16S ribosomal RNA". It matches the Rfam family "Bacterial small subunit ribosomal RNA", at positions 29 to 507 of the family's 1533-position model. The record is from RNAcentral.
AGUGAACGCUGGCGGUAGGCCUAACACAUGCAAGUCGAACGGCAGCACAGUAAGAGCUUGCCCUUACGGGUGGCGAGUGGCGGACGGGUGAGGAAUACAUCGGAAUCUACUUUUUCGUGGGGGAUAACGUAGGGAAACUUACGCUAAUACCGCAUACGAUCUACGGGUGAAAGCAUGGGAUCUUCGGACCUUGCGCGACUGAAUGAGCCGAUGCCGGAUUAGCUAGUUGGCGGGGUAAAGGCCCACCAAGGCGACGAUCCGUAGCUGGUCUGAGAGGAUGAUCAGCCACACUGGAACUGAGACACGGUCCAGACUCCUACGGGAGGCAGCAGUAGGGAAUAUUGGACAAAGGGCGCAAGCCUGAUCCAGCCAUACCGCGUGAGUGAUGAAGGCCUUCGGGUUGUAAAGCCCUUUUAUUGGGAAAGAAAAGCAGCAGGUUAAUACCCCGCUGUUCUGACGGUACCCAAAGAGUAAGCACCGGCUAACUUCGUG